This 417-nucleotide ribosomal RNA is filed under the name Elaphrus cupreus. Its description in RNAcentral is "SSU rRNA". It matches the Rfam family "Eukaryotic small subunit ribosomal RNA", at positions 1172 to 1489 of the family's 1831-position model. Lineage: Eukaryota; Metazoa; Arthropoda; Insecta; Coleoptera; Carabidae. The record is from RNAcentral.
AGGAGUGGAGCCUGCGGCUUAAUUUGACUCAACACGGGGAAUCUUACCAGGCCCGGACACCGGAAGGAUUGACAGAUUGAGAGCUCUUUCUUGAUUCGGUGGGUGGUGGUGCAUGGCCGUUCUUAGUUGGUGGAGUGGUUUGUCUGGUUUAUUCCGUUAACGAACGAGACUCUAGCCUGUUAACUAGGCGUUACUUACCGGUAUCUCGAAGGCUCGCGUCUGCCGUACUGCAGCGUCGUGUGCACGUAUGUGUGUCCGUUACGGCGGUGCAUGUGCGUUGUUACUGGCGUGCGCGGGCGGGAGUUCGCGGUUUUUACUACCGGCGUACAAUUGAAUCUUCUUAGAGGGACAGGCGGCUUUUAGCCGCACGAGAUUGAGCAAUAACAGGUCUGUAAUGCCCUUAGAUGUUCUGGGCCG